This 1471-nucleotide ribosomal RNA is filed under the name Candidatus Nanoarchaeia archaeon. RNAcentral describes it as "bacterial SSU rRNA". It matches the Rfam family "Archaeal small subunit ribosomal RNA". Lineage: Archaea; Nanobdellati; Nanobdellota; Candidatus Nanoarchaeia. The record is from RNAcentral.
AUUCCCGUUGAUCCUGCGGGAGAUUGCUGCUAUCUGGAUUCGAUUUAAGCCAUGCAAGUCAAGGGGACCUUCGGGUCACCGGCAUAAGGCUCAGUAACACGUCGAUAAUCUGCCCUAUGGUCUGGAAUAACUUCGCGAAAGUGAGGCUAAAACCGGAUAGGGAAAUUCUACUGGAAAGUGUUUUUCCUUAAAAGCAAUGCCAUAGGAUGAGUCGGCGGCUGAUUAGGCAGUUGGUGAGGUAAUGGCUCACCAAACCUACGAUCAGUAGGGGGGAUGAGAGUCCUAGCCUCGAGAAGGGCACUGAGAUAAGGGCCCUAGCCCUAAGGGGUGCAGCAGGCGCGAAACCUUUACAAUGCACGAAAGUGUGAUAAGGGAAUCCAGAGUGCUUAUGUUAUGCAUAAGCUUUUGCCAAGUGUAAAUAACUUGGAGAAUAAGUGGUGGGCAAUACCGGUGCCAGCAGCCGCGGUAACCCCGGAGCCACAAGUGGGAAUCACGAUUAUUGGGUCUAAAGGGUCCGUAGCCGACUUGCUAUGUCUUUUGUGAAACUGUUAGGCUUAACUUAACAACGUGCAAGGGAAACUGGCAAGUUAGAGACCGGGAAGAGGCAGAGGUAUUCCUUGGGAAGCGGUAAAAUGUUAUAAUCCUUGGAAGACCACCUAUGGCGAAGGCAUCUGCCUAGAACGGGUCUGACGGUGAGGGACGAAGGCUGGGAGAACGAUCGGGAUUAGAUACCCCAGUAGCCCCAGCAGUAAACGCUGUGAACUAGGUGUUGCAUAUUCUCCGAGAAUAUGCAGUGCCGGAGCGAAGGUGUUAAGUUCACCACCUGGGAAGUACGGUCGCAAGACUGAAACUUAAAGGAAUUGGCGGGGGCGCACCACAACGAGUGCGGCGUGCGGUUUAAUCUAACUCAACACAGAGAAUCUCACCAUGGGCGACGGCAGGAUGAAGGUCAGAUUAAAGGUUUUACCUGACGAGCCGAGAGGUACUGCAUGGCCGACGUCAGCUCGUGCCGUAAGGUGUCACGUUAAGUCGUGCAACGAGCAAGACCCGUAUCCUCAGUUGCCACCAACUACUUCGGUAGGAUUGAGCACACUGAGGAGACUGCCUUGGUAACAAGGAGGAAGGUUCGGGCAACGUUAGGUCUGUAUGGUCCGAAUCUCAUGGGCUACACGCGCGCUGCAAUGGUAGGGACAAUGUGAUACAACUCCGAAAGGAGAAGUCAAACCUCUAAACCUUAUCUUAGUCCGGAUUGAGGGCUGUAACUCGCCCUCAUGAGGCUGGAAUUCGUAGUAAUCGGACUUUAACAGGGUCCGGUGAAUAUGUCCCUGCGCCUUGCACACACUGCCCGUCAAGCCAACCGAGCAGGGUUCGUGUGAGGCUUAGUCUUUGGCUAAGUCGAACACGAAUUCAGUGAGGAGGGUUAAGUCGUCACAAGGUAGCCGUAGGGGAACCUGCGGCUGGAUCACCUCCU